CAUACGACUCUCGGCAACGGAUAUCUCGGCUCUCGCAUCGAUGAAGAACGUAGCGAAAUGCGAUACUUGGUGUGAAUUGCAGAAUCCCGUGAACCAUCGAGUCUUUGAACGCAAGUUGCGCCCGAGGCCUUCCGGYYGAGGGCACGCCUGCCUGGGCGUCACGC
RNAcentral lists this ribosomal RNA (164 nucleotides) under Erythronium quinaultense. RNAcentral describes it as "5.8S ribosomal RNA". It matches the Rfam family "5.8S ribosomal RNA". From Rfam's summary of the family: 5.8S ribosomal RNA (5.8S rRNA) is a component of the large subunit of the eukaryotic ribosome. It is transcribed by RNA polymerase I as part of the 45S precursor that also contains 18S and 28S rRNA. The record is from RNAcentral. Lineage: Eukaryota; Viridiplantae; Streptophyta; Magnoliopsida; Liliales; Liliaceae.